Non-coding RNA from Mus musculus (house mouse), 294 nucleotides. NCBI's taxonomy places the organism in Eukaryota, Metazoa, Chordata, Mammalia, Rodentia, Muridae. The record is from the annotation of a RefSeq genome assembly.
CAGGUCCAGGUGCAGCUGUCUGCAGCUGAGCUGGUGAAGCCUGGGAGUCCAGUGAAGCUGUCCUGCAAAGCUUCUGGCUACACCGUCAAUGACAACUAUAUGGAGCAGGUAAAGCAGAGGCCUGGACAGAGCAUGGAAUGGAUUGGAUAGAUUCAUUUUGUAUAUGGUGGUACUUAAUACAAUGAAAAGUUCUAGGGCAAGUCCACAUUAACUGUAGAAAAAUCCUCCAACACAGCCUACAUGGAACUCAACAGCUCGACAUCUGAGGACUCUGUAGUUUAUUACUGUGCAUGG